AUUGAACGCUGGCGGCAGGCUUAACACAUGCAAGUCGAGCGGGGUGAUGGUGCUUGCACUAUCACUUAGCGGCGGACGGGUGAGUAAUGCUUAGGAAUCUGCCUAUUAGUGGGGGACAACAUCUCGAAAGGGAUGCUAAUACCGCAUACGUCCUACGGGAGAAAGCAGGGGAUCACUUGUGACCUUGCGCUAAUAGAUGAGCCUAAGUCGGAUUAGCUAGUUGGUGGGGUAAAGGCCUACCAAGGCGACGAUCUGUAGCGGGUCUGAGAGGAUGAUCCGCCACACUGGGACUGAGACACGGCCCAGACUCCUACGGGAGGCAGCAGUGGGGAAUAUUGGACGAUGGGGGGAACCCUGAUCCAGCCAUGCCGCGUGUGUGAAGAAGGCCUUAUGGUUGUAAAGCACUUUAAGCGAGGAGGAGGCUCUUUUGGUUAAUACCCAAGAUGAGUGGGCGUUACUCGCAGAAUAAGCACCGGCUAACUCUGUGCCAGCAGCCGCCGUAA
RNAcentral lists this ribosomal RNA (503 nucleotides) under uncultured bacterium. RNAcentral describes it as "partial 16S ribosomal RNA". It matches the Rfam family "Bacterial small subunit ribosomal RNA", at positions 30 to 523 of the family's 1533-position model. The record is from RNAcentral.